UACGGAGGAUCCAAGCGUUAUCCGGAAUCAUUGGGUUUAAAGGGUCCGUAGGCGGGUUAAUAAGUCAGUGGUGAAAGUCUGCAGCUCAACUGUAGAAUUGCCAUUGAUACUGUUAACCUUGAGUAAUUAUGAAGUGGUUAGAAUAUGUAGUGUAGCGGUGAAAUGCAUAGAUAUUACAUAGAGAUUGCGAAGGCAGAUCACUAAUAAUUUACUGUCGCUGAGGGACGAAAGCGUAGGUAUCGAACAGG
This 248-nucleotide unclassified non-coding RNA is filed under the name uncultured Flavobacteriaceae bacterium. Its description in RNAcentral is "contains 16S-23S intergenic spacer region". It matches the Rfam family "Bacterial small subunit ribosomal RNA", at positions 524 to 776 of the family's 1533-position model. The record is from RNAcentral. Lineage: Bacteria; Pseudomonadati; Bacteroidota; Flavobacteriia; Flavobacteriales; Flavobacteriaceae.